GACGAACGCUGGCGGCGUGCUUAACACAUGCAAGUCGAACGGAAAGGCCCUGCUUUUGUGGGGUGCUCGAGUGGCGAACGGGUGAGUAACCCGUGAGUAACCUGCCCUUGACUUUGGGAUAACUUCAGGAAACUGGGGCUAAUACCUGAUAGGAGCUCCUGCUGCAUGGUGGGGGUUGGAAAGUUUCGGCGGUUGGGGAUGGACUCGCGGGUUAUCAGCUUGUUGGUGGGGUAGUGGCUUACCAAGGCUUUGACGGGUAGCCGGCCUGAGAGGGUGACCGGCCACAUUGGGACUGAGGUACGGCCCAGACUCCUACGGGGGGCAGCGGUGGGGAAUAUUGCACAAUGGGCGGAAGCCUGAUGCAGCAACGCCGCGUGCGGGAUGACGGCCUUCGGGUUGUAAACCGCUUUCGCCUGUGACGAAGCGUGAGUGACGGUAAUGGGUAAAGAAGCACCGGCUAACUACGUG
This 468-nucleotide ribosomal RNA is filed under the name uncultured bacterium. Its description in RNAcentral is "partial 16S ribosomal RNA". It matches the Rfam family "Bacterial small subunit ribosomal RNA", at positions 28 to 507 of the family's 1533-position model. The record is from RNAcentral.